GAAACUCAAAGGAAUUGACGGGGCCCGCACAAGCGGUGGAGUAUGUGGUUUAAUUCGAUGCAACGCGAAGAACCUUACCAGGGCUUGACAUCCCCUGACCGCGUAUGAAAGUACGUUUUCACCCUCGGGUGACAGGGAGACAGGUGGUGCAUGGUUGUCGUCAGCUCGUGUCGUGAGAUGUUGGGUUAAGUCCCGCAACGAGCGCAACCCCUACGUUUAGUUGCUAACGCGUGAAGGCGAGCACUCUAGACGAACUGCCGUUGACAAAACGGAGGAAGGUGGGGAUGACGUCAAAUCAUCAUGCCCCUUAUGUUCUGGGCUACACACGUGCUACAAUGGCCGGUACAGACGGACGCAAAGCCGCGAGGCGGAGCAAAUCCGAAAAAGCCGGUCUCAGUUCGGAUUGCAGGCUGCAAUUCGCCUGCAUGAAGUCGGAAUCGCUAGUAAUCGCAGGUCAGCAUACUGCGGUGAAUACGUUCCCGGGCCUU
RNAcentral lists this ribosomal RNA (488 nucleotides) under uncultured Pelotomaculum sp. RNAcentral describes it as "bacterial SSU rRNA". It matches the Rfam family "Bacterial small subunit ribosomal RNA", at positions 896 to 1382 of the family's 1533-position model. Lineage: Bacteria; Bacillati; Bacillota; Clostridia; Eubacteriales; Desulfotomaculaceae. The record is from RNAcentral.